RNAcentral lists this transfer RNA (75 nucleotides) under Leguminivora glycinivorella. RNAcentral describes it as "tRNA-Ser". It matches the Rfam family "tRNA". From Rfam's summary of the family: Transfer RNA (tRNA) molecules are approximately 80 nucleotides in length. Their secondary structure includes four short double-helical elements and three loops (D, anti-codon, and T loops). Lineage: Eukaryota; Metazoa; Arthropoda; Insecta; Lepidoptera; Tortricidae. The record is from RNAcentral.
GCUUCCGUAGCUCAAUUGGUUAAGAGCAUUGCACAGAUUGCAAAAAGGAUGCGGGUUCAAGUCCCGCCGGAAGCG